CAACCCUCGAGCUCCCCUUUCGGGGGGAGCCCGGCGUUGGGGACCCGGCGCUAACAACGCCGGCCCCCGAAAUGGAGUGGCGGCCCGUCCGCGGCGACCUCUGCGUAGUAACAACCACUCGCACCGGGACCCGGGCGCGGCCACGCCGUAAAACACCCCACCUUCCGAA
Molecule: unclassified non-coding RNA, 169 nt
Filed under: uncultured fungus
Lineage: Eukaryota; Fungi
Description: sequence contains ITS2
Source: RNAcentral